UUCACCAAGCCUCCGACAUGUCAAAAAUACUUUGCUAUUUUGAUUAUACUUGUUAUUUUGGUUUAUCUAGGGUAGCUAUGAUCAAUUCUUAAUAUAUCCUGGUAUAUAUGCUCCCCUUUUAGGUUAUGAUUGACAAUUAUGCAUCAUAUUAAUUUAUGUUAUCUCAGAUUAUGGAUUUUAUAAAUAGCGCUCUUAAUAGCCUUUGUUGAUGCCUAUCACCUAAUGUUUCUAACUAUUAGCUGUAAGGGUUAUUGCAUUUUUCUUAAGUUGGCCUUCAUAGUGAUGUGCUUUCUCCAUUAAGAGAAAAAUAAAGGUAGUACUGCUGAUCUCAAAAUAGAAAUUAGCUUUCCUGGGUUACUUUACCUUUCAACCUUUCCACUUGGUAGGAAUAUUUUGUUCAGGGUUCAGAGAUGGUUCUUCAUUCUUGGCUUGGGUUCAACUUGCUCUUUGUUAUUAGACUGCUUCUUUUAGGGUUAAUGUGUGAUUUCCUCUUUUCAAUUUAGUACAUCCACCCUAUGUGUAAAUGUUUUAUUUAUUUAUUGUCCGUCCUCUUCCUUUAACUCAUCGCCGGCAUGAAGAGGUUGCUCGCCGCUAUUGCUUCAAGUCAGGAUGGGAUGAUGUUGUUUAGGAGGUGUUCAUAGUACCAGGUCUCCAUAGACAUGACCGUUUCAGAUUGGGAACAAGGGGUGGAGCCAACCCGACCGUAGAGCCUUAGCAAGGUAGCUGGUCAGUUUGAAAGGUUGGCCCAGCGGGAGCAGGUUGCAGUUGUGGCCGCCUGGGCGGGAGCAGAAGCUGGCCCAGCAGCGAUCGACUCCUUCAGGUGGACGCAUGGGCGCAGUUGCGGCAGCCCGAGAUGGAGAAGAAGAUGCACCGGCCUCCUUGAGGCGGAUGCGAGCUUGGGCAGCAGGAGGCCGCUGGCCCAAGGUGCCGGGGACGAGCUCGAGCGGGAGGGCAGCGGGAAGACCGGUGGCGCUAGGGUAGCAGGAGUAGCAAUGAAAUAAUAAAGGCGACCGAACUAAAAUUUGUUACAUCGAUCAGCAUGUAUUUCUUGUUUUGGUCUCUGGGAUUUUCGGUGAUAUGUAUGCUGCUCAGUUGUACCCCUUCUUCUUUGAAUUCAGCUUUGUUGAUUAUUAUUGCUUUUCUUUUUUCAGAAUAUUGAUAUAGUGAUAUUA
This is a long non-coding RNA of Lolium perenne, 1172 nucleotides long. RefSeq lists it as uncharacterized. Lineage: Eukaryota; Viridiplantae; Streptophyta; Magnoliopsida; Poales; Poaceae. The record is from RefSeq and is a predicted model, not a curated record.